This is a long non-coding RNA of Drosophila innubila, 628 nucleotides long. RefSeq lists it as uncharacterized. Lineage: Eukaryota; Metazoa; Arthropoda; Insecta; Diptera; Drosophilidae. The record is from RefSeq and is a predicted model, not a curated record. The transcript has 2 exons.
UGAAACUUUUCUCAUUUAGUGCUAAUAGUUUCUGUUGUUGCUGUCACAUAAAAAAGUUGUUUACAAAAAUUGUGAUAAAUCUCCAAACUGACCUACGAUCUGAAGGCCAGCAACAUUUGCCCAGUUAAAGUUCUCUCAGCUCGAGGGUUCUUCUAGGGCAAACAAAUAAUAUGCUGCAGAUGGAAUCAACUUGGACUUAUCUUGGCCAGACAACAAUGUAUAGAAAUUGCACACAGAAAUAAAAAUAAAAGAGUAAAAGACAAUUGCAAUUGAUAAGCAGCAGAGGAGAAAGACGAACAAGAGCAAUAAACGAAAGAAUAUACAAACUGUGGCAAACAUUAGAGAUGUGCAAAAUGAACAGAAGCAGAAAUACAAUGAAAAAGACAUCAAUGUACUUGCAACUUGGUUAAUAUUACAUUAGUUAUAGAAACACUGUAAAUGGUUAAGUAGAAAAGAUGGAUAUUCAUAUAAACACAGUGACUGGGCAUAUGGCCAGCCAAUAUGCAUUUAUUAUACGAGCGAACGAGGGCGUGGCAGAUGCCAGAGCAUCGACAGAGCAACAACAAAAAAGUCGAAACUAAAUACCGAAACCAGAGCAGUAAAUGAAAAGAUUUUGAGGCAGCAAAAA